UGUGCUGGUCAGUGUUGGGGCAUAUGCGCUGAUGAUUGUCACAUACUGGUCUUUGCUGAGAGGAAAACGGAUCUUCAUGAGCCUCUCAUUGAUGCCCACAGGCAAGUCUGAAACUGUUUGAGCAAGUUGGUCUUGAUGGCCAGGCCAACACCAUGGAUUCUGUCUUCACUUGUGGCUCUACCUUUCCAGAAGAAGGUGUAUCCAGUGGUGGGUUCGCUGAGUGAUCCCUCUUCUGGAAAUGGCUAUUUGCUCCCUUAACUCAGUGAGGGGAACCCCUUAACGCCUCAACAGAGAGAUGGUGAACAUGAUUCCCAAGUAAAUAAAGGAGGGAAUAAUGCAGGAGCUGACAAGAAAGUGCAAUAGAUGUUGGUGGAGUUGUGAACUGAUACAACCAUUAUGGAGAGCAAUUUGGAACCAUGCCCAAAGGACCAUCAAAAUGUGCAUGCCCUUUACCAGCAAUACCAUUAUGAGGUCUGUAUUCCAUAGAGAUCAAAGGUAGGAGAAGGCAACUAUUUGUACAAAAAACAUUUAUAGCAACUCUUUUUAUGGUAUCAAAGAACUGAAAACUGAAGGGAUAUUCAUCAAUUGUCGACUAGCUGAAUAAAUUGUAGUACGUGUUUGUAAUGGAAUGAUAU
This 635-nucleotide long non-coding RNA is filed under the name Monodelphis domestica (gray short-tailed opossum). Its description in RNAcentral is "lncRNA (ENSMODG00000045211.1)". The record is from RNAcentral. Lineage: Eukaryota; Metazoa; Chordata; Mammalia; Didelphimorphia; Didelphidae.